UCUUGAUACAGAAUUCAGUCUAGUACGAAACUUCCUUAGCUUAAAUCUUUAGGGUAGCAAAAUUGUGCUCUUGCAUCGCAAAACAGCAGCCACUCCAAAGGUUCUAAACCAGAUUCUCUGAGUUUCAUACUAGUUUGAUUAACCAGAAGGUAACAGUUUUCUCUGGUUAGUUGAAUACAGUGGUCUCAGCGUAGUAAUUGGUGUUGGUUUACCUGCUGUAUGCCAGGAGUCUUUGUUGGAGAAUUCAGCUGUUCAAAAGAUAACACACAGUCUCCCUAUCCCAGAAAAAGGGAGGGAGUGUGAUCUGGGGAGGGUGUGGGGUUGGGUUCUGUUUUACUUUUCGAGAGGAAGGAGAAGGAACUGAACUGCUCUGCUGGAUAACAAAUUCUUUAAGGCUUAUAACAGAGGGCGUGUUAAGAGAGUAAUUAGUGACUGAUUCCAUCUGCACCUUGCAACAUGUUGGAAAGCAACAGGAUGUGAUGAAGGUGUUGCUAUCAAGGAUGUCCUCCUUCAUUGCAAGCCAGGUAAGAAGGGACACAGGGCAGAGUAGUUUAGGAUUUUUUUAGUCAUUAAGCAACUGUUGUGUGCUCCCAUCGAAUUCCUUCUUGUCGAAUGAAUAAUAUUUAGAAAAGCACCCUGAAUAAAACUAAACUUCAAUUCCUUUAUUACUGGUGUUAAAAGUUUAGAAUGAAUGAUUUCUGCAACAGUAAACUUUGUUUUGACUGAAACGUGACUACCCAAUAAAGGGUAGAUUUACAGAGCUUCUACUGAAGUUUAGUCAUGAUCACGAGUCUGCUGCUCCAUUAGGAAAACAAGAGGGAGAGUUAUGCAGACAUAUCUAAUUGUAUCACUAUAGCAUUCUUGACUGCAAAUCAUCUCAUUUCCAUGCAAAGCUAAGCUGCUGGCACAGAACAGGUGCAGAUCUUGGGUUGGCUCCAGUCCCGUGUUUUCAUCUCCCUGAGUCUUUACUGAAGUUGUCUCAGAACAGGAUUGUUGUGGUUUUGUCAUGUACUGAAUUUGUUGCUCCCAGUGCAUCCUGUGACAGUGCUCAGGGCAGUGUUUACAGCUCUGCAUAGACUGAGCAUCAGGUCCUAACUGUUAGCACAGUUAACUCUGUCUUCAUGUUUGCAAA
RNAcentral lists this long non-coding RNA (1132 nucleotides) under Gallus gallus (chicken). RNAcentral describes it as "lncRNA (ENSGALG00010002114.1)". Lineage: Eukaryota; Metazoa; Chordata; Aves; Galliformes; Phasianidae. The record is from RNAcentral.